UUUUGUCAUCAGUAACUUCUGUUGUGGCUUCUUUUUUUUUGCAUGCUUUUUUAUUUGCACCAGUGGCACUUCUCGGCCACUGUAUAAUUGGUUUCAAUGGUGGCUGAGUCACAACAGAAGAAACCAAAGCCUGCUGCAAAUUAAAAAAGAACUAAAAAAAAAGAAGUCACAACGGAAGUUACAGAUGCAGAAAA
Xyrichtys novacula (pearly razorfish) is the source of this 194-nucleotide non-coding RNA. The record is from the annotation of a GenBank genome assembly. NCBI's taxonomy places the organism in Eukaryota, Metazoa, Chordata, Actinopteri, Labriformes, Labridae.